Molecule: ribosomal RNA, 397 nt
Filed under: uncultured bacterium
Lineage: Bacteria
Description: bacterial SSU rRNA
Rfam family: Bacterial small subunit ribosomal RNA
Source: RNAcentral
AAUGAACGCUGGCGGCGCGCCUAAUACAUGCAAGUCGAGCGAGAAGACGUAGCAAUACGUUUGUAAAGCGGCGAACGGGUGAGGAAUACAUGGGUAACCUACCCUCGAGUGGGGAAUAACUAGCCGAAAGGUUAGCUAAUACCGCGUACGCUUCUUGGACUUCGGUUCAGGGAGGAAAGCGAUGCCGAGGGUAUCGCGCUCUUGGAUGGGCUCAUGUCCUAUCAGCUUGUUGGGAGGUAACGGCUCACCAAGGCUUCGACGGGUAGCUGGUCUGAGAGGACGAUCAGCCACACUGGCACUGCGACACGGCCCAGACUCCUACGGGAGGCAGCAGUGGGGAAUUUUGGACAAUGGGGGCAACCCUGAUCCAGCCAUGCCGCGUGCGGGAAGAAGGCCU